UUAUUGGGCGUAAAGAGCUUGUAGGCGGUUGGUCGCGUCUGCUGUGAAAGGCUGGGGCUUAACCCUGGUUUUGCAGUGGGUACGGGCUAACUAGAGUGCAGUAGGGGAGACUGGAAUUCCUGGUGUAGCGGUGGAAUGCGCAGAUAUCAGGAGGAACACCGAUGGCGAAGGCAGGUCUCUGGGCUGUAACUGACGCUGAGAAGCGAAAGCAUGGGGAGCGGACAGGAUUAGAUACCCUGGUAGUCCAUGCCGUAAACGUUGGGCACUAGGUGUGGGGGACAUUCCACGUUUUCCGCGCCGUAGCUAACGCAUUAAGUGCCCCGCCUGGGGAGUACGGCCGCAAGGCUAAAACUCAAAGAAAUUGACGGGGGCCCGCACAAGCGGCGGAGCAUGCGGAUUAAUUCGAUGCAACGCGAAGAACCUUACCAAGGCUUGACAUAUACUGGACUGCGUCAGAGAUGGCGUUUCCCUUCGGGGCUGGUAUACAGGUGGUGCAUGGUUGUCGUCAGCUCGUGUCGUGAGAAG
RNAcentral lists this ribosomal RNA (525 nucleotides) under uncultured bacterium. Its description in RNAcentral is "bacterial SSU rRNA". It matches the Rfam family "Bacterial small subunit ribosomal RNA", at positions 551 to 1074 of the family's 1533-position model. The record is from RNAcentral.